UGUUUCUAUAUAAAAUUUCUUGGAAUAGGAGGGAGAGAAACAAAUGUCGGAGCAAAUGUUAGCUUUUGCCUUCCUUGUUUUGUCAAUCAUCAUCACCGUCUUCUACUUUCCAAUUUCCAGAGGCAAACAACCGCCACCACCGUCACCACCACCAUUCAUGGCGGCAGACUGGACUCAACUCCCUAAAGAUCUUCUACAAUUCAUAUCCGAAAAACUCAACAGCGAAUUCUAUCAACUCCGAUUUCGUUCCGUUUGUUCAUCAUGGCGUUCUUCCGUUCCCAAAAAUCAUCAUCACCAUCUCAAUUUACCUUCCAAAUUCCCAACCCCUUCCAAUUCCAACAACAUCGAUGAUCAUUCCAAUUCCAAUUCCAACAACAACAACGCUUCCACAUUCCCUCUCUCCAAACGAACCUUAUUCCUCAUCACUCCACCCCCAAAUCAACAAACCCUACAACCUUGGUUAAUCAAAAUUGGUCCAGAUUCACAUGACCUAAUUCAUCUCUGGCAUCCUCUCUCACGUGACAAACAAUUCCCUCUUCAUUCCCCUCACGUGAUCGAUUUCAACCAUCUCUCUGUCAUCGAUCUCGGUCGCGAAUUCGUCAUCGGUCAAUUCCCUUCUCAAUCUCCUCUCUUUAUCAACGACAACACCUCACUCUACAUGGAAAAACUCGUUGUUUAUGACACGUGUCAUAGCGGAAAUGAAAAUGAUCCUUGUUCUGUUCUCCUCACUAUUCAUGUUUCCGGGAAACUUGCUAUUUUCCGAUGUGGUGAUGAGCAGUGGACGAUAAUUCCUGAAAUGCCGACGAUGUUUUAUGACGAUGUCUGUGUUUUUAAUGGGCGGCCUAUUGCAGUUGAUGGUACUGGUCGGACUGUUGCAGUGGAACCGGAUUUAAGUUUGGAUUUGGUGGCGGAGGCUGAGGCUGUGUUUGGGGGAGAUAAGAAAUUUUUAGUGGAGAGUGAUGGUGAAUUGUUACUGGUGGAUAAAUAUUUAUCUUGUCUUGGGAAUUAUAGUUUGGAUGAUGGAGAAACAGGUAAUGAUAUUGUAGCAGAGAGAGCUGUGAAAUUUGAUGUGUUUAGGCUUGAUGAGAAGGAGAAGAAGUGGGUGGAGGUGAGAAAUUUGGGGGAUAGGGUUUUGUUUUUGGGGGAAGAUUGUGUUUUUUCUUCUAAAUGUAAUGGCAAUGGGAAUUGUGUGAUAUUUAUGGAUCGCAAUUGUCAUUCAACUGAGUUUGGGAUUAGUGUUUUUCACUUGGAUCAACGUCGGAUCUCACCUUUGUCUGAUUUCCCUUGUUAUUCCAAGUUGUUUUGGCCACCUCCGGAAUGGGUUGGGUUGCGUGUCGACAACAACAGAGCAUUAAUCUUGGAUUGAAAGGUUCAUACUAAGAAAUUUAGUUCAUGGUUGUGAGGGAUUAAGGUUGUCUAAGCGCAUAUGAUUUCUGCUACUUAUCCAUUUUCCACGUAAGCCAGAAAAAACUCCUUUUUUCCAUGUUUCUGUCAAUGGAACAAUAAGCUCUACCGUAUGAUUAAGAGAAAGAGUACAUGUGCAGGCUGUGAAGGAGCCCUUUGAUGCAACUUUCGGCAAUACUGCAGAUGAUUGUGUCCAUAGACAUCGGAGAAUGCUUCUGUUUUUAUUUAUUUAUUUUCUUGUAUAGUAUUGAUGUAUAGGCCCAGUCAAUUAACAAGAUAAUAACUCCAUCAUUCUUCUUAUUACAAUACAAUUAUACAACAUUAGGUGAUGUUAAGCUUUUCUUUUUCGUUUGAAUUUAUUGAAUAUAUUUCUUUUUUAAUGUAAA
Molecule: RNA transcript, 1790 nt
Organism: Trifolium pratense (red clover)
Lineage: Eukaryota; Viridiplantae; Streptophyta; Magnoliopsida; Fabales; Fabaceae
Gene name: F-box protein SKIP23-like
Exons: 3
Source: RefSeq, a predicted model, not a curated record